This 370-nucleotide ribosomal RNA is filed under the name uncultured organism. RNAcentral describes it as "partial 16S ribosomal RNA". It matches the Rfam family "Bacterial small subunit ribosomal RNA", at positions 527 to 896 of the family's 1533-position model. The record is from RNAcentral.
AGAGGGUGCAAGCGUUAAUCGGAAUUACUGGGCGUAAAGCGCGCGUAGGUGGUUCGUUAAGUUGGAUGUGAAAGCCCCGGGCUCAACCUGGGAACUGCAUCCAAAACUGGCGAGCUAGAGUAUGGUAGAGGGUGGUGGAAUUUCCUGUGUAGCGGUGAAAUGCGUAGAUAUAGGAAGGAACACCAGUGGCGAAGGCGACCACCUGGACUGAUACUGACACUGAGGUGCGAAAGCGUGGGGAGCGAACAGGAUUAGAUACCCUGGUAGUCCACGCCGUAAACGAUGUCAACUAGCCCGUUGGAAUCCUUGAGAUUUUAGUGGCGCAGCUAACGCAUUAAGUUGACCGCCUGGGAGUACGGCCGCAAGGUUA